This is a long non-coding RNA of Carya illinoinensis, 617 nucleotides long. RefSeq lists it as uncharacterized. The record is from RefSeq and is a predicted model, not a curated record. NCBI's taxonomy places the organism in Eukaryota, Viridiplantae, Streptophyta, Magnoliopsida, Fagales, Juglandaceae. The transcript has 4 exons.
CUGAAAAUUCUGUACAUGUAGUACAUAAGGAAACAUCUAGCGAUAAGAUUCAUAGACCUAAUAGGAUUAGGAGUACCCUUUUAUUUCUCCAUAAAUACUACAAUCCAAAUAAAAUUUUAGGUACUGAUUGGUGAACCCUCUCUCGAGUCCCUCCGUUAAAUCAUAUUUCAAGCAACUUUGGUGCGACCGUGUGGUGAUAUGAAGAACUUGAUUGGUAAGGCUUCUUGUUGGAUUUGCCAGGAGAGUUUCAGCACCACAAUAACAGCUUUAACUGAACCCAUAGACAUAUCACAGAUAUGGUGAAUGGAUUGACGAAUGCGAGUGGGUCAACAACCUCGAAGAUGAUGCUGCAAUUAGGAAGCUGCUUAGAUGUUCAUAAUUCUGGGUCUCUUCUGGAUGGGGAGAUCAGCAAAACCAGAGAGUAAUAAAUAAUAAUGUGUGAUUAUUGUGUAAUUAGCAUGCAUUGAGAGAACCUUGUUGGUAAUGGGGUUGUAUUCCUGACUCCCUUAUAUGGGAGAUCAUCUAUUGCAUUUACUAUGCUUUUCAGAUGACAAUGGUAAAUAUAUGAGCUUUGCAACUUGGUUUGUGGUUAUAAAUUCAUUUCUGGGUUUGUUGAA